ACAAACUUGGUCAUUUAGAGGAAGUAAAAGUCGUAACAAGGUUUCCGUAGGUGAACCUGCGGAAGGAUCAUUACCGAGCGCGAGGCCACGCAGGGCGCCAGCCCCGCGUGGCCGACCCUCCACCCGUGCUGAUAUUUCAGGCUACUUUGGCGGGCCGGGCUCGACCUACCGGCUCCGGCCGGGAGCGCCCGCCAGAGACGCCCCAACUCGUGCUGUCAGUGAUGUCUGAGUUACAAUUAAUAAAGUAAAACUUUCAACAACGGAUCUCUUGGCUCUGGCAUCGAUGAAGAACGCAGC
This 297-nucleotide unclassified non-coding RNA is filed under the name uncultured fungus. RNAcentral's name for it is "partial contains small subunit ribosomal RNA, internal transcribed spacer 1, and 5.8S ribosomal RNA". The stretch from base 1 to 73 matches the Rfam family "Eukaryotic small subunit ribosomal RNA", at positions 1759 to 1831 of the family's 1831-position model. Lineage: Eukaryota; Fungi. The record is from RNAcentral.